RNAcentral lists this ribosomal RNA (611 nucleotides) under Hyposerica sp. BMNH 678454. RNAcentral describes it as "partial 16S large subunit ribosomal RNA". It matches the Rfam family "Bacterial large subunit ribosomal RNA", at positions 1844 to 2733 of the family's 2925-position model. The record is from RNAcentral. Lineage: Eukaryota; Metazoa; Arthropoda; Insecta; Coleoptera; Scarabaeidae.
UUUAAGGUCUAAUCUGCCCUAUGAGGAGUUAAAUGGCCGCGGUACUCUGACCGUGCAAAGGUAGCAUAAUAAUUAGUUUUUUAAUUGAAAGCUGGAAUGAAUGAUUGGACGAGAAAAUUACUGUCUCAGUUUAAUUUAAUUAGAAUUUUAUUUUUAAGUAAGAAAGCUUAAAUUUUUUUAAAAGACGAGAAGACCCUAUAGAGUUUUAUAUUUAUAUAAAUAUGGGUUUUUUAGAAUUUUUUUAUUUGUAUUUAUAUAAUUAUUUUAUUGGGGCGAUAGGAAAAUUUAAUAAACUUUUCUUUUUUAAUUACAUUAAUAUAUGAAAUUUUGAUCCAUUAUUAUUUGAUUAUAAGAUUAAAUUACCUUAGGGAUAACAGCGUAAUUUUUUUUUAGAGUUCUUAUCGAAAAAAGAGAUUGCGACCUCGAUGUUGGAUUAAAAUAUACGUUUGGUGUAGGAGCUAAAUAGUUAGGUCUGUUCGACCUUUAAAAUUUUACAUGAUCUGAGUUUAAACCGGUGUGAGCCAGGUUGGUUUCUAUCUUUAAAUAAUUAAAAUAUUUUAGUACGAAAGGACCAAAUAUUUGUAAAAUUUAUUUUUUUUUGAUUAGUAUUA